AUUGAACGCUGGCGGCAUGCCUUACACAUGCAAGUCGAACGGCAGCACGGGUGCUUGCCCCUGGUGGCGAGUGGCGAACGGGUGAGUAAUACAUCGGAACAUGUCCUGUAGUGGGGGAUAGCCCGGCGAAAGCCGGAUUAAUACCGCAUACGAUCUACGGAUGAAAGCGGGGGACCUUCGGGCCUCGCGCUAUCGGGUUGGCCGAUGGCUGAUUAGCUAGUUGGUGGGGUAAAGGCCUACCAAGGCGACGAUCAGUAGCUGGUCUGAGAGGACGACCAGCCAAACUGGGACUGAGACACGGCCCAGACUCCUACGGGAGGCAGCAGUGGGGAAUUUUGGCAAAUGGGCGAAAGCCUGAUCCAGCAAUGCGGCGUGUGUGAAGAAGGCCUUCGGGUUGUAAAGCACUUUUGUCCGGAAAGAAAUCCUUGGCCCUAAUACGGUCGGGGGAUGACGGUACCGGAAGAAUAAGCACCGGCUAACUACGU
This 485-nucleotide ribosomal RNA is filed under the name uncultured bacterium. Its description in RNAcentral is "partial 16S ribosomal RNA". It matches the Rfam family "Bacterial small subunit ribosomal RNA", at positions 30 to 506 of the family's 1533-position model. The record is from RNAcentral.